RNAcentral lists this ribosomal RNA (253 nucleotides) under uncultured bacterium. RNAcentral's name for it is "partial 16S ribosomal RNA". It matches the Rfam family "Bacterial small subunit ribosomal RNA", at positions 524 to 776 of the family's 1533-position model. The record is from RNAcentral.
UACAGAGGGGGCAAGCGUUGUUCGGAAUUACUGGGCGUAAAGGGCGCGUAGGCGGCCUGUUAAGUCGAACGUGAAAUCCCCGGGCUCAACCCGGGAACUGCGUCCGAUACUGGCAGGCUUGAAUCCGGGAGAGGGAUGCGGAAUUCCAGGUGUAGCGGUGAAAUGCGUAGAUAUCUGGAGGAAUACCGGUGGCGAAGGCGGCAUCCUGGACCGGCAUUGACGCUGAGGAGCGAAAGUGUGGGGAGCGAACAGG